GUUUUCUAUAAUAAAUAUGGAUUAUUUGGCUAAGGUUUAUAACUAAUUAAUUGUUGUAAUAAUUAUUAUAAUUAUUACUUAAUAAGUAAUUAUAAAAGAAAUCAUAUCUCCUACGGUACUGCAGAAAUUGGAAUAGCGCUUAUGGAAAGUAAAAAAACCCCAAGCUGCAAGGAAAAAUUGUUUAUUAGUGCAUGCUAUCCUAUCUUAAUAACUGAUCCAGCAAAACAAUAUUAUAGAAACUCGUUAAAGGACAGAAUACUAUAGCAUUAAUAGGUAUAGAGUUUAUAGAAUGCAUCUAACUAUUUAUAUUCUAUUUGUUCUUAAGGGAAAUUAAAGAAAUAUUAUUGUAGAUAGAAAAGUAUAUUGUUAAUAUUCUCCAUAACUGAAUGGCCAAGCUAUGACAAAGGGGUAAUGAAUAUGAUGUGGUGUGGUGGCUUUCCAUGUAAGAAUUAACCUUUUUAAAGCAGUUUUACUCUCAUUUAUUUAGUCUUCACCAUACAGACAGCUGACAGUGAGGAAUUCACACUGAUGUGGGAGGUGUCACUGAGGAGAUGAAAUUUGAGUUGCUCCUUAAAGAAUGAGUAAGAUUUGCUAGGUGAAGAUUGGUGAAAUGGCUUUGCAGACAGACAGAAUAGCGACAGCGAAACAACAGGCGAAGUGUGAGAUGUGUCAUGGGAACACUAGUUACUCAGAUGUGUGAGUAUGUGUGUGUGUGGGUAGGUUUGUGUCAUGGGGUCCAUAUGAGGGGGUGUGGAAGGAGCUAAGUCAGUGCAAACUUUUAGCUCUGCAAGUUACAAAAUGUAAGAGGCUAAAAAAUGACCUGAAAUCUGAAAAUCACAAUUCCUAAAGUAAAGGUAGAUCGUUUCUGUCAUUUAAAAUGUGUGGCAGGAAGAAAAGCAGCAUUUAUUGAGCUCCUGUUAUAUGACUUUAUAUCUAUUGUUGCAUUUAACCCUUAGAUCAGCUCUUUAAGAGGCUGAUUACUCUCAAUUUACAUGUGAGGAAAUGCAAGCUACAGAAAUUACCCUAGAAAGAUGAAGCCCAGCAGCAGGAUUCAAUCCAGGUUCAUCCAACUCCUCAGAUGGUAUUCUUUCCAUCACACCAUGCGGUCUCUCUGAAAUACCUAAGUCAUUCUCGUAUUACAACAAACAGUGGGACACCUCCCCACACAGACCACUCUCACCACCACCACCAAAUAGCUCAGCAUAUUUGGAGACAAAAACAAAGGAAGAGAAAUGAAAUAUGCAUGUGAAAACUUUAUAGAUUAUUCUGCCCUAUUCAGCAGCCAUUAUGGGAUUGUUACUUGAUAUGAAUGUAGAGAUUUGCUACUUCGAAAGCCUUAAAGUUUCCCUAUUGUGGCCCACAGCUCUCUGGAUAUGGCAGUAUUUCUUGAACUAGCAAAAAAAGCUUAUUUUCUUCAGUAUGUGAAUCCACAUAAAGGUAUUUAUCCUAAACAGCUACUUCCUCCUUUACCAUGGACUGAUUUGGGAUUCAGCUUUGUUGCGAUGCCACAGGUGUUUUAGAUUUUGAUGGCCGCUUCCAAGUGUGGGUCUGAUGAGCUCUCCGCAUGCGCUGCCUGCCUGGGUGAGCGCUGGCCAGGCUGAGUAGGCUCAUUCAUCCAGGAGAUGGCCCUGCAGCUGAAAAGAGGUGAGGCACACUGCCUUGUCGCUUGAGUUUGCUUGUUUUCCUUCUAUGCUCUCUGCCAUGAGCCUUGAUAAGAAAGAUGAAUGCCAGCAUCUGCCAAGAUAUUAAGAUACAGAUCCUGCUUCUUCAGUUGACUAGAUUAACAUAUUAAACAGCCUAUUCUCUUAAGAUGUUUCCAGCUAAAAUUAGUUUUUCCUUUCUCAUCGUGCUAGUUGUGAUUUCAUGGGGUUAUUUUUUCUCCAGGCAGUGCUUCCUUAAGUCUUUCUCUGCUCCAGUCAUCUUCCACACUGCUGACAGACUGCUCUGUUGUAAAGGAAAAUCUCAUUGUGUUAUCCCCUUACUUAAAAUUGGUGCAGAGUAAACUCAUCCUUCAAUACUCAGGCUGUGCUUUGUCCCCCAGGAGGAGAUGACUACUUUCUGGUCCAGCUGAGCCCUGCAUGUACCUCUCACAUGGUAUCUACCCACGGUAUUUGCAGUUCUGUGUUCCUUGUCUGGUUCUCUUUCUGGUUGAUGCUUGAGUUCAGGGACUCUGUCUUUUUCACUAUUUUAUCAUAAGAAUUUCAUAUAUAGUGAUCCCAUCAUAUGUGCAAAUAAAACAUUAGCUGAAAAUAUUAAAUGAAUUAAUUAAAAGUAAAUGAAUGAUUAAGAGUUGUGAAACCUCAGUUGAAUGUAAGGGUGGAGAAGUCGGAAAGGCAGCAUAUCUAACUGCCAUCUUUAGCAUCUGAUAAAGGUUAAUGAAAAUGGCUGAGGUUUCCUUAAAAUGACAUGUAGCUAGUAGCUUUUAAAACAGUCUUUGUUUAUAGAAAAUUCUUGGUGUUUAUUUGAAUUUUUGGUGUUUAUUUGAAUUCAUGGACUAUCUCAGGAGUUGUCAGCCUACAAGUGUGUAAAGAUUGCUUUAUGGUGAUAAAAUGAGUACAGGAUGAGACCUAAGAAAAUGCAGAAUUAAUGGAGAAAAUGGUGUGUUUUUAGUUCCUCUUUACUCUAGAGCUUUGUGGAAAGAUCAUCCCAUUAUAUGGAUAAUACUUAGGAUUUUAAGAAAAAUCCUUCUUUCCAAAAAAAUGUGAAAACAUCACUUUUCUAGCCUUGCAUCCUUUUCCCAAGAAAUUCUGGCUCAUUUAUUCCUUUCCUUUGAGAUGCAGAUCCAUCUGUCCCGCUUGCCCACUUGACUUCUCUUCUGUGUUUCAAUCUAAUAACAAAAACUAGCGAUUUAACUCCCCAAAUGAUCCUCUUCCAGUUUCUUUAUCUUAGAAGGAAGCUGCUCCACUCAGCAAUUAACCCAAAACCUUAUGAAUUAACCUUGGUUCUUCUUACUUUCUUACCUCCACAUCUAAUCCAGAACCUCCUAAAUACCUACGAAACAUGUCUUAAAUAUUUCCUCCUUCUACUACCACCACCAUCUUAGUACCAGCUGCCAUGACCUAUUGCCUAGGAGAGAGCACUAAAAAACAGGGCCUUCUUCCUGAUUGAUGGCUUCAUCUUUGGACCCUCUCCAAUUCCUUGUGUAUGCUCCAGCAGAGCUAUCUUUCUGAAGUGCAAACUGGAUUAUGCCAUCUUCCUUCUUAAAACCCUGUAGUGGUUUUAAUUAUUUUAAGGUUUAAAAAUAAAUUAUUAAACCAGGUUACAAGGCCUUGAGUGGUCUGGCCUAUCUCCCUCUCCAACAGUUCCCUCAUCCCACUCUCUCUUCGGCAGCAUCAUUGGCUUUCUUUCAGUUUCUCACGUUUGCCAAGGUCUCUCCCUCCCACUUUGGACCUUUGCACUUGCUCUUCUCCUGUGUGGAAAACUCUUCUGUCUCCUAGUUAUCCAAUAAACUUUCAUUCUUUCUUCAAAUUUCAGCUUAGCCUCCCAUGACCAUGAUUUUUUACCCACUCUUGUAGCACCAUGCAACUCUUUUUUGAGGUACUAACCUUAAUUGUAAUAUUAGAUUUGUUUAAUUAGUAAAUAGUCUCCUUUCCUGGGCUCUAAGCUCUUUGAGGACAGGGACCACAUCUGGUUUUGUUCCCUAAUGCUUCUCCAGAGCUUAGCCCAAUACUCAGCAGGUACUGUGUUGUUAACAUUUAUUGAAUGAUAAUAGGCAUAUUAGCAUGUAUUGACAUUAUGGAUAAUCAUUUUUUGAGUAAUGAUAAAUAUUCAAAGAAAGACAAGCAGUAUUUAACAUAAGUGCACUAGAUAUAUCUAUCUUAACUACUGUUAUUGAUCAUAUGUGAGGGUGUCAAUGUGCUUCUUGCAUUCUUAAAAACCACUUUGCAGACUACAUAUUUGAAUUAUUAGGCUUGUGUCAAGACAUAUAAGGCUUAAAAUGUGUUUUUGUCUAUCUCAAAUCACUCUACAUUUUCAGUUUCUCAGAACUGAAAGCUGUUUCUCAGAAUUAUCACUCACUGGGCACAAUGGUUUCAGUAAAGGGAGCCGGUGUGGCAUGAGCUGGAGAUUUAGAACCAAACGUAUUUGGCUUUGAAUUCUAGCUCCGCUAUGCAUUACACGUGUAAUGUUGGGCAAAUGAGUUCAUCUCUCUGAGCGUUAGCUUUAUCAUCUGUAAAUUGGGUUUUGUAAUACCUACCUCCUGGGAUUAUUUUAUGGCUUAGGAAUUUAACGUAUAUGAUUACAGUUCUUCCUAUUUAAAGGUGCUUCAUCGUUCUUGCUUCCUGUACCUUCCUCCCAGGUAGUCUGCAUAGUUUGAAAGACACACCAAUUAGAUUCCUAUCCCUUCCGCAUGUUCCAUCUAAAUGGAGAAUAUGCUUUAAAAAUUGAACUUUAACUGAGAGGGAGCUAGAGAAAAAGGAUGGAAGGAGGAAAAAUAUGCCACUCAGUUGCCAUGGUACACCCAGGUUAAAGAAACCCGGGUUUAUAAAUGAGCAGAACGAAGAAAGUAAGUGUCGUUAGCUUUUGAUGUAGUGUUGCUUGAUUUCAGAUUGCUUUUAAUUUAAGUUAUUCAUAGUAUCUCUUCUUUCGGAGUAACUAGUUGUGUUUAUCUGCUUCUUAGCAGGAAGGUGUUAGAAGAGGUCAUCGAGAGGAUGUGAGUGCUGGUUGACCCGAGAACUGGACCAGGGCAUUUGGAGGCUCUUCACCUUCUCCCCUGUCCUUGGAAUGUAUGUUCUGUCCACGGUUCCUACAGUAGGAGCUAUUUUCAAGGACACAGCCUUGAGAGAGCAGUGUGUUGUUGAGACCAUCUUGAUUGAAAAUGUGACCAAAACCGGUUAAGGCCUCUGUAUAAAAUUGUAAGAUUUGGCAGGUGGGUGUGGAGAUCUGCUUGUCUGUGGCCAGCCAAGAUAAGCCUUCUCUGGGAGUUCCCUGUCAUUUUAAACCUGUCACCUACUGAGCUAGAGUGGUCUGCCUCUUUCUUUGGUCUGUCCUAGCUCUCCGCAUAGAGGGACCAGUUUCAAAUUUCCCCUGGGAAGCUCCUGAGUUUGUGAACCAACAGAAGGAUGUUCUCGUGUUUUGUGCUAAAUUCCUUUCAGUACACUCUUUUAACUUCACCUAGUUUAGAAGGAAAAGAUGAAGUGGAUACUGUAAACAUAGUAAUCAAGUUAACUCAGACUUUGGUUUACAAUUACAAAUUUGGCUAAUGACUGUCUGAGGGUGUUCUUAGAUGGUGAAGAUACUGAGGUAUUCUUGACAUCCCUAAUUUUACUAAAAAAUUAUGCAGCUAGAGGCCCCCUGAUGGCCUAGUGGUUAAAAUUUGACACCGUCUGCUUAGGCAGCCGGUUCACUUCCUGGUUGCGGAAACACGCUGCCUUUCUGUCAGUUGCCAUGCUGUGGCAGCCGCUCACAUAGAAGAACUAAAAGGACUUACAAAUAGAAUAUACAACCAUGCACUGGAGAUUUGGGGAGAAAAAAAAAGGGAGGAAGAUUGGCAACAGAUUUUAACUCAGAGCAAAUCUUUCCCUGCCAAAAAAAAAAAAAAUCUCUCUAUAUAAUACAUGUAUAUAUAUUAUGCAGCUAAAAAUAAUGUAAUCAAUCAUUUGGCUAUCAUUACCUUUAGGAAAGACUGUGCCAAAACCACCUCAGCAGAAGGAUAGUCUGGCUCAUUGCUUCUAAAAUACUGUAUAUCAAAGAUAACAUUUGUCAAUCAAGCCUGGUGAGCUUUGCCCUUUUUGUAUUUUCUUUUCAGAAAUAACCAUUGUAUUUUGAUACCUAUUUUUUAGGAAGUAACUAUGAAAUAUUGUAGAUAAAUUUAUUAGUAAAGAGGGAGCAUAAGACUAUUUGCCAACCAAUCACAAAUAUAAGAAUUAAUGAAGUAGUGCCCCUCUGUCUUCAAAGGAGAGAUAAUUAGUAAGUAUGAAGUCAGCGGAAGAUAAAGGCAUUGCCCUUUGACCUCAUGUUCCCACUGCACUAUUUUAUUUUUAUACAUAAUUAAGGGAUGGAUGUAAUUUCCACAUCUAAAUAAUACCGAUGUGUGCUUUAAAGAUGUGUCAAUGGCCUGUAAAAGUCUCUCUUCACAGGCAUUAAUCUCUACAAAUUCUUCCUUGAUUAACAUGCUACGAUAAUAAUAAUGCAUAUGGUUAACAAUUAUUUAAUGCUUAUUAUGUACCAGAUACUAUGAUAAUUAUUUUACAUACCUAAUUCUCAUAACAUUUCACUGAGGUAGGUAUUUAUAAGCUGUGUUUCCUAAAUGAGAAAAAUGAAACUUGAAAAUCUUGGGUAACUUUCUCAAGAUCUCUGCAGCUUAGCAUGUGAUGGAGGUGUGUUUUGAGUCCAAGUUUACAUCUGAUUCUGAAGCUUUUGAUCUUGGCCACUAGUCAGAAAUUAGCAGAGAAAAGCUGAUGGGGGCCCAAUGUGUGAUUGUUUUUGGUAAAACCAUUCUUUUAUGUAUUUCUGUGACCAUUUGAUUAACACAAGCAACAUGGUGUAGUAAGCUAUUUAUCUCUGUGUUUUCCUUGAAAGCUUUUAGGUGCGACCCUUUCUGCUGAUGAGUGCCACUGGGGGUAAAUAAUAGCCUAUGAGAUUACUCAAGUGCUUUGUUGCCAUGGAGCUGAUAAAAUGCCCAGGCUAAGAGAAAUUGGGAUCUGUGAAAACUGAUGCUGCUACAUAAAUUAAACCAGUCACUCAUUAAUGCAACAAAGCAUUAGGAAACUAUUAUAUUCCAAGUAAGAUUUUAGGUUUAAAAACACAAAAAUGAUUGGCGUAAAUUCUCUGUCCUUUACAAGCUCAUAUUCUAGUGUGUAUGGCAAGAGAGGAAUUGGAAGGUAUGUAAAUUAAUAAUUGCAAUAAGAAGAUACAUUCCAUAUUAAAGGCAUGGAACAAGGUACUCAGGGCACACAUUGAAGGGAGUGUUUGGUUAGAGUUUCAAGGAAUUAUUCUAGGGAAAGUUAUAGUUGAGUGUGAGAUGGAGUCCUUCCGGUGACAUGGAGAGGUGCGAGGGGCUAGGCAUUACAGAAAGAGGAACUGAUGUGUGCAACGGCAUCUGGCAACUGCAAGUAGUUUGGUGUGGCUGGAUUGUAAGGAUCAAAAUACCCACUAAUGCACACCUUGGAUUGUUCUGCCUUAAACAUCACACCUGCUAUGCCCUGCCUCUCUCUUUCUUUCAUCCUCCUACUCCCUUCCCUGCUGUUUGUAGGAUUGUGGGAGCUGCCUAAUUGGAAAUCUGUAAGAAGGGUCAACAGGCUGGAAAUUCAGCUAAGAGUUGAUGGUGUGGUAUUGAUCUGAAAUCUGCAGGGCAGGCCAUCAGGUGGGACGCCUACCACAGCAUGGCGUGCCAAGUGGUGCCAUGUCUGCACCCGGAUCUGAACCAAUGAACCCCAGGCCACCAAAGCGGAAUAUGCACACUCAACCACCGUGCCACCAGGCCCACCCCACCCUGAAAAUUGUGACAAGUUAUGCAUUUCAAAUAUCUGUGAUAAGACUGAGGAUUGACUCCACUUAAUUUGGAUCCUGAGUGUUACAAGAGGUGGACAGUAGCGACGCUUUGAGUUGACACUCAUCUCCCUGGCACUAGCUCUACUUAGACACAUGGAUGGCUUCUUACUGAAAAUGUCUGUCAGCUCUUUGCCUGAGUAAUUCCGCUGGCUGUAAGAAAGUGCUUGACUUGUGUGUGGAACAGACUGAAAAUGAUUGAAAGUUAACAUCCCAGGAGCGGUCUUCAACCAGUUAUGGAUGGGCGUUGGCAGAGAAACUCCAUAGUUUCUUCACCCCUCAGCCUCCCAUCUUAGAAAUUCGGGGAUCGAAGUAAACCCAUUUUAUUAAUCCCCUCCUAGGGGAGAAGCAUAGACCAUCUGACUCCUCCGUUUAUAAAUAGCUGUGCACACAGGAAGACGUAGCGGGCUGGAACCUCCACUAGCCGUUACAGUUAAGGGUUUAAAGAAACUGCGGUUCUUCCUUUUGAUCAUUGCCACCUAUCUUUAAAGAAAAUGACAUUAUUUUAACAUGUUAACUAAUUGAGAAAAAUGUGUUCCCCAAGCAUUGCUUACAAAAUAUGUUGAUGAUUUAAAAAUGUAAGUAAAUAUCAACAAAGCAGCAGAAUACACAGCAUGAAAUAAUCAAAAUUAAAAUACAUUAAAACUUCUGCUUUCUGCAACAAGGGCCAAUGAUAUUAAUAACAAUGUUGCGAAAAAAAAGUCUGGAAUAUGGUGGAAAAGAAAAUAAACCUAAGGAGGGUAAGACUGAAAUAAAAUAACCCCAGAGACCAUUACAUGGUUAAGCAAUUAAGUGAUUUCUCAUUGCUGGGAGAUAAGUAAUUUUAUUUUAAUUUUUUAUUAACUGUAAUCCAUUUUCAAAGUGAUUUGGAUUUAGGUCAACAUAAAAUACAGUAUACUUUUCAGUGUUUCUUAAAUGCAUGUUAGAAUAACUUACUUCUUAAAUAAACUAAUUAAUGCAUAAUAAUAUUUCCCCUCUUGCAUUCUUAUGAACUUUUCCUCUUAUUAUUCGUCACGGAACUGUUUUGCCUCUCUGUCCCAUACCCUUUCUGAAUGUUUGUGCUAAAGGAGUACAUUUAAUAUAUUUGAUAUUGUUACUCUGAGAAAUUAGAGUUAAAGUAAACACAUCAUUGGUCGUUGUAAUUCAUCGAAUGUUACAGACAGCAGGAGUUAGAGUAUGAGUAGUCGCCCAAGCGUGGUCUACUAAAGAGCUGAGGGAGCCAGGGCCCCUGUGGGCUGGAGUUUGGGGAAAGGAAAAAUGGAUCUUGAUCUUUCUGCUUCUAAAGUCUUUCGUCAAAGUCUUUCAGUUAUUGAUUCUUAAUCAUGUGCCAGGCCUAACUAGAAUGGAACACUUUGCAGCACUUUAAAAUCUAAAUGUGAUUAUAUGUAAAUUGAUGAACCACAUUUUCUUUGGUCCUGGUUGGCUUUUACUGUCAUAUUCUGUAAGAUGUCACGUAGCUAUUGUCGGAUAUUUAAAAAGUGGGAAGACUUCUCUUGAAAUUCAUUUCCUAGUAAUAAAAAUUACUUCUUGAAAAUCAAAUUGUUUCAAAAUUAUGUUCACACCUUAAAUUGAUCCUAUUUAAUGUUUGGAGGUGAGGUGAAAAUCUUAUUUUUUAUUUGCAUAUGUUGAUGUAUGCUACUG
RNAcentral lists this long non-coding RNA (9129 nucleotides) under Equus asinus (donkey). RNAcentral describes it as "lncRNA (ENSEASG00005036331.1)". The record is from RNAcentral. Lineage: Eukaryota; Metazoa; Chordata; Mammalia; Perissodactyla; Equidae.